AGUGAAGCGGGAUGAGCUCAAAUUUAAAAUCUGGCUGGUUUACCAGUCCGAGUUGUAGUUUAAAGAAGCGUUUUCGGUGGCAGGCCGGGUAUAAAUCCUUUGGAACAGGGUAUCAUAGAGGGUGAGAAUCCCGUCUUUGACUCGGCUGAUGUUACUAUGUGAUACGUUUUCAAAGAGUCGAGUUGUUUGGGAAUGCAGCUCAAAAUGGGUGGUAAAUUUCAUCUAAGGCUAAAUAUUGGCGAGAGACCGAUAGCGAACAAGUACCGUGAGGGAAAGAUGAAAAGAACUUUGAAAAGAGAGUUAAACAGUGCGUGAAAUUGUUGAAAGGGAAACGUUUGACACCAGCUAUGUAGGCGGAAAAUCAGUCAAGCGCAGUGAGGGGCUGGUGUUUGUCCGGACCGCAAGGCCGGCGGAUAUCUCAUCUUUGCUGUGGGUGAUGCACUUUUUCGUUCGCAGGUCAACAUCAGUUUCGCUUGCUGGACAAAACCCCGAGAGAAGGUAGCAGCUUUGGCUGUGUUAUAGCUCUGGGGCGAUACAGUGGGUGGGACUGAGGAUUCGCAGUGUGUGCUCUCGGGCAAGGCUGACUGGGUGCUCUGGGGUCGUUUGGCGUACAAUGCUUGCAUUUUGCGUCUUGUCUUCUUCAGACUCGCUUAGUUCGGCUCUUCCACGCU
RNAcentral lists this ribosomal RNA (671 nucleotides) under Dissophora globulifera. RNAcentral describes it as "eukaryotic LSU rRNA". It matches the Rfam family "Eukaryotic large subunit ribosomal RNA", at positions 92 to 615 of the family's 3401-position model. The record is from RNAcentral. Lineage: Eukaryota; Fungi; Mortierellomycota; Mortierellomycetes; Mortierellales; Mortierellaceae.